Molecule: unclassified non-coding RNA, 298 nt
Organism: Callithrix jacchus (white-tufted-ear marmoset)
Lineage: Eukaryota; Metazoa; Chordata; Mammalia; Primates; Cebidae
Rfam family: Metazoan signal recognition particle RNA
About the family: The signal recognition particle (SRP) is a universally conserved ribonucleoprotein. It is involved in the co-translational targeting of proteins to membranes.
Source: Ensembl
GCUGGGCACAGUGGCGCUGUAGUCCCAGCUACUCGGGAGGCUGAGGCUAGAGGAUCACUUGAGUCCAGGAGUUCUGGGCUGUAGUGCGCUAUGCCAAUCAGGUGUCUGCAUUAAGGUUGGCAUUAAUAUGGUGACCUCCCAGGAGUGGGGAACCACCAGGUUGCCUAAGGAGGGGUGAACUGGCCCAGGAUGGAAACAGAGCAGGUCAAAACUCCUGUGCUGAUCAGCAGUGGGAUUGCGCCUGUGAAUAAUAGCCACUGCACUCCAGCCUGGGCAACAUAGGAAGACCCUGUCUCUC